AGAUACUUUGUGAACUGCUAGAGCCAUUUAGAAUUAUUCUCAGCUGUAACCCACCUAAACAUAGACAGGUUAGUUAGCCUAGCCUAUAACCCAACUAAACAUAGACUGGUUAGUUAGCCUAGCCUAUAACCCACCUAAACAUAGACAGGUUAGUUAGCCUAGCCUAUAAACCCCCUAAACAUAGACAGGUUAGUUAGCCUAGCCUAUAACCCACCUAAACAUAGACAGGUUAGUUAGCCUAGCCUAUAACCCACCUAAACAUAGACAGGUUAGUUAGCCUAGCCUUUAACCCACCUAAACAUAGACAGGUUAGUUAGCCUAGCCUAUAACCCACCUAAACA
Oncorhynchus keta (chum salmon) is the source of this 341-nucleotide long non-coding RNA. RefSeq lists it as uncharacterized. Lineage: Eukaryota; Metazoa; Chordata; Actinopteri; Salmoniformes; Salmonidae. The transcript has 3 exons. The record is from RefSeq and is a predicted model, not a curated record.